UAUCCUGGCUCAGGAUGAACGCUGGCGGCGUGCUUAACACAUGCAAGUCGAACGGAGGACCCUUGACAGAGUUUUCGGACGAUGGAGAGGAAUCCUUAGUGGCGGACGGGUGAGUAACGCGUGAGCAAUCUACCUUGGAGUGGGGAAUAACACAGUGAAAACUGUGCUAAUACCGCAUAAUACAACUGUGUCGCAUGGCAGUGGUUGUCAAAGAUUUAUCGCUCUGAGAUGAGCUCGCGUCUGAUUAGCUAGUAGGCGGGGUAAAGGCCCACCUAGGCGACGAUCAGUAGCCGGACUGAGAGGUUGGCCGGCCACAUUGGGACUGAGACACGGCCCAGACUCCUACGGGAGGCAGCAGUGGGGAAUAUUGGGCAAUGGGCGCAAGCCUGACCCAGCAACGCCGCGUGAAGGAAGAAGGCUUUCGGGCUGUAAACUUCUUUUAUGAGGGACGAAGGAAGUGACGGUACCUCAUGAAUAAGCCACGGCUAACUACGUG
Molecule: ribosomal RNA, 496 nt
Filed under: uncultured Oscillospiraceae bacterium
Lineage: Bacteria; Bacillati; Bacillota; Clostridia; Eubacteriales; Oscillospiraceae
Description: bacterial SSU rRNA
Rfam family: Bacterial small subunit ribosomal RNA
Source: RNAcentral